UAUGGAGGGCGAGAGCGUUAUUCGGAAUUACUGGGCGUAAAGCGCACGUAGGGGGUUGGGUAAGUCGGAUGUGAAAGCCCUGGGCUUAACCUGGGAACUGCAUUCGAUACUGCCCGGCUAGAGUAUGGGAGAGGGAAGCGGAAUUUCCGGUGUAGCGGUGAAAUGCGUAGAUAUCGGAAGGAACAUCAAUGGCGAAGGCAGCUUCCUGGCCCGAUACUGACGCUCAGGUGCGAAAGCGUGGGGAUCAAACAGG
Molecule: ribosomal RNA, 253 nt
Filed under: uncultured bacterium
Lineage: Bacteria
Description: partial 16S ribosomal RNA
Rfam family: Bacterial small subunit ribosomal RNA
Source: RNAcentral